This 735-nucleotide ribosomal RNA is filed under the name Pantoea sp. Its description in RNAcentral is "bacterial SSU rRNA". It matches the Rfam family "Bacterial small subunit ribosomal RNA", at positions 720 to 1455 of the family's 1533-position model. Lineage: Bacteria; Pseudomonadati; Pseudomonadota; Gammaproteobacteria; Enterobacterales; Erwiniaceae. The record is from RNAcentral.
GCGGCCCCNCUGGACGAAGACUGACGCUCAGGUGCGAAAGCGUGGGGAGCAAACAGGAUUAGAUACNNUGNUAGUCCACGCNGUAAACGAUGUCGACUUGGAGGUUGUUCCCUUGAGGAGUGGCUUCCGGAGCUAACGNGUUAAGUCGACCGCCUGGGGAGUACGGCCGCAAGGUUAAAACUCAAAUGAAUUGACGGGGGCCCGCACAAGCGGUGGAGCAUGUGGUUUAAUUCGAUGCAACGCGAAGAACCUUACCUACUCUUGACAUCCAGAGAACUUAGCAGAGAUGCUUUGGUGCCUUCGGGAACUCUGAGACAGGUGCUGCAUGGCUGUCGUCAGCUCGUGUUGUGAAAUGUUGGGUUAAGUCCCGCAACGAGCGCAACCCUUAUCCUUUGUUGCCAGCGAUUCGGUCGGGAACUCAAAGGAGACUGCCGGUGAUAAACCGGAGGAAGGUGGGGAUGACGUCAAGUCAUCAUGGCCCUUACGAGUAGGGCUACACACGUGCUACAAUGGCGCAUACAAAGAGAAGCGACCUCGCGAGAGCAAGCGGACCUCAUAAAGUGCGUCGUAGUCCGGAUCGGAGUCUGCAACUCGACUCCGUGAAGUCGGAAUCGCUAGUAAUCGUGGAUCAGAAUGCCACGGUGAAUACGUUCCCGGGCCUUGUACACACCGCCCGUCACACCAUGGGAGUGGGUUGCAAAAGAAGUAGGUAGCUUAACCUUCGGGAGGGCGCUA